UCCAGGUUAGCCUGGCGGUCUCGUAUGAAAAAUUCAACAUACGACAAGGGUUGCGCUCGUUUACGGACUUAACCGUACACUUCACAGCACGAGCUGACGACAGCCGUGCAACAUCUGUCACCUGGUUCCUUGCGGCACGGUCCCGUUUCUGGGACUUUCCAGGGAUGUCAAACCUCGGUAAGGUUCUUCGGUUACCGUCGAAUUAAACCACAUGCUCCACCGCUUGUGCGGGUCCCCGUCAAUUCCUUUGAGUUUUAGCCUUGCGGCCGUACUACCCAGGCGGCUGACUUAACGCGUUAGCUACGGUACACAACGGGUCGAUACGUCAUAUACCUAGUCAGCAUCGUUUAGGGCGUGGACUAC
Molecule: unclassified non-coding RNA, 363 nt
Filed under: uncultured bacterium
Lineage: Bacteria
Description: contains 16S-23S intergenic spacer region
Source: RNAcentral